ACGCUCGACACCUACGGGCAGCAGUUGGGAAUAUUGGACAAUGGAGGAAACUCUGAUCCAGUGACGCCGCGNGAAGGAAGAAGGUCUUCGGAUUGUAAACUUAUUUUGUCAGGGAAGAAAAAUGACUGUACCUGAAGAAAAAGCACCGGCUAACUACGUGCAAGCAGCCGCGGUAAUCUGAGCGGGCUGGCAAGGC
RNAcentral lists this ribosomal RNA (196 nucleotides) under uncultured bacterium. RNAcentral describes it as "partial 16S ribosomal RNA". It matches the Rfam family "Bacterial small subunit ribosomal RNA", at positions 326 to 539 of the family's 1533-position model. The record is from RNAcentral.